Molecule: ribosomal RNA, 467 nt
Filed under: uncultured bacterium
Lineage: Bacteria
Description: partial 16S ribosomal RNA
Rfam family: Bacterial small subunit ribosomal RNA
Source: RNAcentral
GACGAACGCUGCGGCGUGCUUAACCCCUGCCAGUCGAACGGAAAGGCCCUGCUUUUGUGGGGUGCUCGAGUGGCGAACGGGUGAGUAACACGUGAGUAACCUGCCCUUGACUUUGGGAUAACUUCAGGAAACUGGGGCUAAUACCGGAUAGGAGCUCCUGCUGCAUGGUGGGGGUUGGAAAGUUUCGGCGGUUGGGGAUGGACUCGCGGCUUAUCAGCUUGUUGGUGGGGUAGUGGCUUACCAAGGCUUUGACGGGUAGCCGGCCUGAGAGGGUGACCGGCCACAUUGGGACUGAGAUACGGCCCAGACUCCUACGGGAGGCAGCAGUGGGGAAUAUUGCACAAUGGGCGGAAGCCUGAUGCAGCAACGCCGCGUGCGGGAUGACGGCCUUCGGGUUGUAAACCGCUUUCGCCUGUGACGAAGCGUGAGUGACGGUAAUGGGUAAAGAAGCACCGGCUAACUACGUG